RNAcentral lists this transfer RNA (90 nucleotides) under Gammaproteobacteria bacterium. Its description in RNAcentral is "tRNA-Ser". It matches the Rfam family "tRNA". Rfam says of the family: Transfer RNA (tRNA) molecules are approximately 80 nucleotides in length. Their secondary structure includes four short double-helical elements and three loops (D, anti-codon, and T loops). Further hydrogen bonds mediate the characteristic L-shaped molecular structure. tRNAs have two regions of fundamental functional importance: the anti-codon, which is responsible for specific mRNA codon recognition, and the 3' end, to which the tRNAs corresponding amino acid is attached (by aminoacyl-tRNA synthetases). tRNAs cope with the degeneracy of the genetic code in two manners: having more than one tRNA (with a specific anti-codon) for a particular amino acid; and 'wobble' base-pairing, i.e. permitting non-standard base-pairing at the 3rd anti-codon position. Lineage: Bacteria; Pseudomonadati; Pseudomonadota; Gammaproteobacteria. The record is from RNAcentral. RNAcentral also lists the same sequence under 1 other name.
GGAGAGAUGUCCGAGCGGUCGAAGGAGCACGUCUGGAAAGCGUGUAUACGCGUAAGCGUAUCGAGGGUUCGAAUCCCUCUCUCUCCGCCA